This 301-nucleotide ribosomal RNA is filed under the name uncultured bacterium. Its description in RNAcentral is "partial 16S ribosomal RNA". It matches the Rfam family "Bacterial small subunit ribosomal RNA", at positions 509 to 807 of the family's 1533-position model. The record is from RNAcentral.
CAGUCGCCACGGGAAUACGUAGGUGGCAAGCGUUGUCCGGAAUUAUUGGGCGUAAAGGGCCCGCAGGCGGUUUCUUAAGUCUGAUGUGAAAGCCCCCGGCUCAACCGGGGAGGGUCAUUGGAAACUGGGAAACUUGAGUGCAGAAGAGGAGAGUGGAAUUCCACGUGUAGCGGUGAAAUGCGUAGAGAUGUGGAGGAACACCAGUGGCGAAGGCGACUCUCUGGUCUGUAACUGACGCUGAGGAGCGAAAGCGUGGGGAGCGAACAGGAUUAGAUACCCGCGUAGUCCCUGUCUCUUAUAC